Molecule: long non-coding RNA, 876 nt
Organism: Trematomus bernacchii (emerald rockcod)
Lineage: Eukaryota; Metazoa; Chordata; Actinopteri; Perciformes; Nototheniidae
Exons: 5
Source: RefSeq, a predicted model, not a curated record
CACCAGAUUCAACCAUUUUCCCACUGUAGGCCUGUGUGUGUGUUUUAUUCCUGCUCUUUGCAGCAUCUCUGAAGAUGCAAAUGUUUAUUAUCCAAUUAUGAUCAAACUAUUGUCAGAUUUUAAAAUGGAACUGAAUUUCCUGCUCCCUCUCUCUCCUCUCCUCCCUCUCUCUCUCCCCUCCCCCUCUGGGUGUUUUUCGUUUUGAUGGAGAGACUGGCAACGAAAUCUGGAAUGGCUUUACCGAAUGCCUCACGGAUCACGGACAUUACAUUACAGCGGAGUGCGGAGAGGGACGGGAAAACUGUGAAUGAACAAGGAAAGGACAAUGACAACGAAAAUGCGAACGGACAAAAUGGAAAAACAGGAGUAGGAAAACAAAAAGAGUUUCAGGUGGAACCGGGCAAGUCACUAUACUGGACGAUGGAUGACCCCUUUGAGGACCGUGUCAUAUCUGAGACCACACCAACCUUUUUGACGGGACUUGCUGCUGUCUUUGCGAUCUAUAUUCUACCUGGCUGCAGUACCAGGAAGAGGCAGCCUGUACUCUGGAAUUCAUUCAGAGAGACUGGCAACGAAAUCUGGAAUGGCUUUACCGAAUGCCUCACGGAUCACGGACAUUACAUUACAGCGGAGUGCGGAGAGGGACGGGAAAACUGUGAAUGAACAAGGAAAGGACAAUGACAACGAAAAUGCGAACGGACAAAAUGGAAAAACAGGAGUAGGAAAACAAAAAGAGAUCCAUCUCUAGGCUCAGCAGCCCUGUCCCCUUCUGGUCACCCUACCCCAGAAUGCUGAACCUGAACCAGCGUUUCUCCCAACUGAAGGAGGACGCGUCACUGCAGCUCUCUCGUCUCCUCUUCACACACCACACUUUUC